AUGAAUUAAAUGAUGAGGUUGUCGCUGGCCCUGCAUGGGCAUGUGCACAUCUUAUCAAUUCAUCCACACACUUUUGUGCACAUUUCAUAGAUUGGCUCAUUAAUAGGAGCUGCCUCUGGGUAGCUUGAGCCUCUCUGUGUAUUUUAUUACAAACAUUUCAGUCUUAGAAUGUAAUUUAUGCAAUUAAUGCAAUGAAAUA
This 199-nucleotide unclassified non-coding RNA is filed under the name uncultured Hyphoderma. Its description in RNAcentral is "sequence contains ITS1". The record is from RNAcentral. Lineage: Eukaryota; Fungi; Basidiomycota; Agaricomycetes; Polyporales; Hyphodermataceae.